This 1840-nucleotide ribosomal RNA is filed under the name Triticum aestivum (bread wheat). Its description in RNAcentral is "partial small subunit ribosomal RNA". The record is from RNAcentral. Lineage: Eukaryota; Viridiplantae; Streptophyta; Magnoliopsida; Poales; Poaceae.
CACACUCCCCUCCCUCUCCCUCUCCCCGACCCAUGCGGCGCCGCCUCCCUCUCCCCGACCCAGAUCUCCCUCCCCGACCCAGACCUCCCUCUCCGCCGUCCCUACUCCUACCCCGCCGUCGGCCUCCCCCCAAGCGCCGCUACUCUUGACCUGCAACGACCUGAGCAGGAGCAGCAGCAACUUCCUCCUCCACUUCCCCUUGCUUUUGCCGCCCGCCUCCGAGCUCUUGCCUCUGCGGCUCUUCCGAAGCCACGGCCAAUAGAGCCACGACAGGCUGAGCCUCCGCCGGUGAUGCCUCUGCCACUCCGGCAAGUAUGCACUUGUGGUCUGGCCGCGCGCCGCUGCUCAGAUCGAGCGAGAGGCGAGGCAGCGCCAGAUCCAGAUUGAGCGCCGGAUCCAGGUCGAGCCACCGGAACAAGGGCCAUGGAACCGACAGCAGGCACGCCAUGGAGGAGAGGACGCCAUGGAGGGGAUGACGCCAUGGAUGUGAGGAUGCCAUGGAGGACGCAGCUCCAUCACCACCCCGACGCCAUCUCCGAGCCCCCUCCCGAUACAUCUCAUGCGAGUUUGAUGGAGGGUCAAGGACCGCACGCACAGUGGAUUAUCCAGAACGCCCAGGCCAGCCACGGUGUGAGUAGGCAUCCUCUGUGGAUGAUGACGACAACCAGGGCAUCCACCGCCACGACGACGCUCCGCACAUGGUCCAACUCGGCUACAACCUCCUCUACCACGGGACGAAGACCGUGGCCGUGUGCGGCAUCGGCUACAACCUCCUCUCAUGUGAGUUCGUCUCCUAGCUACUAGCCCCCUCUCUUGUGCUGCUAUAGGAGUACCUUGCUCUGUUUCAUGCGCAUGGGUGAUUUUGUUUGUACUUUCCGUGCUUGUGUCAUGGAAAAGACCAUUCCUAUUUACAAGUGAUGAUGAUUUGGAGUAGCACACUUGUUAAAUUCUGCUCUUGUAGUAGACCCCAUUUGUAGUUACUGUGAUGUGCAUUGACUCGGCCUCCUAGUACUGUAGAUCAUGCAUGUUAAUAAUUUAUAGUGGCCUUGUUAGUUACUACAGCUAGGCUGUGUUAACUGUUGGUGUUUAAUCUAGCUAGCUUGUUUGUACCAUCAGGAUUGCAGCAAAUUGCAUCUAGCUAGCCUGUUUGUACCAUCAGGAUUGCAUUUUUACUGUUUUACUCAACUCGUUUUCGUUGUUACUUGAUACAUACUACCUCUGUCCCAUAAUAAACCAUCAAAUGUACUCCUGGGAGGGAUAAACAUCUUUUUUAGAACAUGGGUUGAAGCAGACUGUACUUGCUUACUGAGAAUAUGAAAAUGGGAUAUUCUGUUUGCUAAUAUGAAGAUAGCAUUGUGUUUAAUCCAGUACUGAUGAUUGUUUUCAUUCCCAUAUAAACUUGUUAAUGAUGGUGAUUUUGUACUAGCAUAUAAACUUGUUUUUGUUUUCACUUGAUACAUACUUAGCUUGUACUUGAAGUUGUGGGUUAAUGCUGGUAAUUUUGUUCUCUUGUAUGCAUUGGUACCCCCAUCAUGGUCGUGUGCAUCAUCAAGCACACCAUGGCGAGCAUCCACCUCCUCACAUUGGCAAGAAGAGCAGGUGCCUAGUUUGUAAUCGCUGUCGAAGGAGCUCCAUGCUGAAGAACAUAACACUUGUAGAUCUUGUAAAUUACCAUGUUAUUGAACUUGUGGAGCAUGUAACUGUGACUCCAUACUGAUGUUACACUUGUAGAGCUUGCAAAGUGUAUGUUAGAGCUUAUUGCGUGUUAUUUGUACAGCAGCAGCUCUGUAUUGACUCUGGCUGAUAAUAUUUGAAGUAUUUUGUGUGCUUUCUGUGUGCC